GUCGUAGUCCGGAUUGGAGUCUGCAACUCGACUCCAUGAAGUCGGAAUCGCUAGUAAUCGUAGAUCAGAAUGCUACGGUGAAUACGUUCCCGGGCCUUGUACACACCGCCCGUCACACCAUGGGAGUGGGUUGCAAAAGAAGUAGGUAGCUUAACCUUCGGGAGGGCGCUUACCACUUUGUGAUUCAUGACUGGGGUGAAGUCGUAACAAGGUAACCGUAGGGGAACCUGCGGUUGGAUCACCUCCUUACCU
RNAcentral lists this ribosomal RNA (252 nucleotides) under Yersinia pestis. RNAcentral describes it as "partial 16S ribosomal RNA". It matches the Rfam family "Bacterial small subunit ribosomal RNA", at positions 1285 to 1533 of the family's 1533-position model. Lineage: Bacteria; Pseudomonadati; Pseudomonadota; Gammaproteobacteria; Enterobacterales; Yersiniaceae. The record is from RNAcentral.